UAAAACGUAGGGGGCGAGCGUUAUCCGGAAUUACUGGGCGUAAAGCGCAUGCAGGCGGUUUACUAAGAUAGCCGUGAAAGCUCCUGGCUUAACUGGGAGAGGUCGGAUAUGACUGGUAAACUUGAGUGAGGUAGAGGAGAGCGGAAUUCCCGGUGUAGUGGUGGAAUGCGUAGAGAUCGGGAGGAACACCAGUGGCGAAAGCGGCUCUCUGGGCCUUUAACCGACGCUCAGAUGCGAAAGCGUGGGGAGCAAACGGGAUUAGAUACCCCGGUAGUCCACGCUGUAAACGAUGGAUACUAGGUGUAGCGGGUAUUGACCCCUGCUGUGCCGUAGCAAACGCGAUAAGUAUCCCGCCUGGGGACUACGGUCGCAAGACUA
RNAcentral lists this ribosomal RNA (378 nucleotides) under uncultured Chloroflexota bacterium. RNAcentral describes it as "bacterial SSU rRNA". It matches the Rfam family "Bacterial small subunit ribosomal RNA", at positions 521 to 896 of the family's 1533-position model. The record is from RNAcentral. Lineage: Bacteria; Bacillati; Chloroflexota.